Molecule: ribosomal RNA, 163 nt
Filed under: uncultured Pelotomaculum sp.
Lineage: Bacteria; Bacillati; Bacillota; Clostridia; Eubacteriales; Desulfotomaculaceae
Description: partial 16S ribosomal RNA
Rfam family: Bacterial small subunit ribosomal RNA
Source: RNAcentral
GUGCUACAAUGGCCGGUACAGACGGACGCAAAGCCGCGAGGCGGAGCAAAUCCCGAAAAAGCCGGUACUCAGUUCGGAUUGCAGGCUGCAAUUCGCCUGCAUGAAGUCGGAAUCGCUAGUAAUCGCAGGUCAGCAUACUGCGGUGAAUACGUUCCCGGGCCUU